Molecule: ribosomal RNA, 348 nt
Filed under: Triticum aestivum (bread wheat)
Lineage: Eukaryota; Viridiplantae; Streptophyta; Magnoliopsida; Poales; Poaceae
Description: partial small subunit ribosomal RNA
Source: RNAcentral
AUGAGAGAAUACUACUGUUAUAAAUUCCAUACACGACCAAACAUAUUCAACCCAAUAUUGCACGGCGGACGGCUUUUCCAACAGUUUGUUGUAGAUACAUAUAUCAAGAUUGAAAAUUCCAGACUGGAUUACCUGUGGCAUCAUCAAAAGGAAAUAAGGGCGGAUCUAUACCAAGACCUUGUAGACAAUAUUCAAGCUGGAGAACAAAAGGGAAAUGCAGUUGGAAAACGGGCAGUACUUGCCUCGUCAUUUAUUGGAGGGCCACGAGAUAAACUUCGCCGGUAUCAAGAUGCUAUGGCUUUAGUUAGAAAAUAUGGAAAGCCAGACAUAUUCCUCUCAAUGACCUAA